This 459-nucleotide ribosomal RNA is filed under the name uncultured bacterium. RNAcentral describes it as "partial 16S ribosomal RNA". It matches the Rfam family "Bacterial small subunit ribosomal RNA", at positions 338 to 795 of the family's 1533-position model. The record is from RNAcentral.
CCUACGGGAGGCAGCAGUGAGGAAUAUUGGUCAAUGGGCGCGAGCCUGAACCAGCCAAGUCGCGUGAGGGAAGACGGUCCUAUGGAUUGUAAACCUCUUUUGUCGGGGAGCAAAAGACGCCACGCGUGGCGUUCCGAGAGUACCCGAAGAAAAAGCAUCGGCUAACUCCGUGCCAGCAGCCGCGGUAAUACGGAGGAUGCGAGCGUUAUCCGGAUUUAUUGGGGUAAAAGUGUGCGCAGGCGGAAGAUCAAGUCAGCGGUAAAAUUGAGAGGCUCAACCUCUUCGAGCCGUUGAAACUGGUUUUCUUGAGUGAGUGAGAAGUAUGCGGAAUGCGUGGUGUAGCGGUGAAAUGCAUAGAUAUCACGCAGAACUCCGAUUGCGAAGGCAGCAUACCGGCGCUCAACUGACGCUCAUGCACGAAAGUGUGGGUAGCGAACAGGAUUAGAUACCCGGGUAGUC